This 704-nucleotide ribosomal RNA is filed under the name uncultured bacterium. RNAcentral's name for it is "bacterial SSU rRNA". It matches the Rfam family "Bacterial small subunit ribosomal RNA", at positions 811 to 1515 of the family's 1533-position model. The record is from RNAcentral.
GUCGAUUUGGAGGUUGUGCCCUUGAGGCGUGGCUUCCGGAGCUAACGCGUUAAAUCGACCGCCUGGGGAGUACGGCCGCAAGGUUAAAACUCAAAUGAAUUGACGGGGGCCCGCACAAGCGGUGGAGCAUGUGGUUUAAUUCGAUGCAACGCGAAGAACCUUACCUACUCUUGACAUCCAGAGAACUUUCCAGAGAUGGAUUGGUGCCUUCGGGAACUCUGAGACAGGUGCUGCAUGGCUGUCGUCAGCUCGUGUUGUGAAAUGUUGGGUUAAGUCCCGCAACGAGCGCAACCCUUAUCCUUUGUUGCCAGCGGUUCGGCCGGGAACUCAAAGGAGACUGCCAGUGAUAAACUGGAGGAAGGUGGGGAUGACGUCAAGUCAUCAUGGCCCUUACGAGUAGGGCUACACACGUGCUACAAUGGCAUAUACAAAGAGAAGCGACCUCGCGAGAGCAAGCGGACCUCAUAAAGUAUGUCGUAGUCCGGAUUGGAGUCUGCAACUCGACUCCAUGAAGUCGGAAUCGCUAGUAAUCGUAGAUCAGAAUGCUACGGUGAAUACGUUCCCGGGCCUUGUACACACCGCCCGUCACACCAUGGGAGUGGGUUGCAAAAGAAGUAGGUAGCUUAACCUUCGGGAGGGCGCUUACCACUUUGUGAUUCAUGACUGGGGUGAAGUCGUAACAAGGUAACCGUAGGGGAACCUGC